RNAcentral lists this ribosomal RNA (548 nucleotides) under Colletotrichum gloeosporioides. Its description in RNAcentral is "eukaryotic LSU rRNA". The stretch from base 174 to 327 matches the Rfam family "5.8S ribosomal RNA". The record is from RNAcentral. Lineage: Eukaryota; Fungi; Ascomycota; Sordariomycetes; Glomerellales; Glomerellaceae.
GGAAUUUGGUUCGCUCUACACCCUUUGUGAACAUACCUAUAACUGUUGCUUCGGCGGGCAGGGUCUCCGUGACCCUCCCGGCCUCCCGCCCCCGGGCGGGUCGGCGCCCGCCGGAGGAUAACCAAACUCUGAUUUAACGACGUUUCUUCUGAGUGGUACAAGCAAAUAAUCAAAACUUUUAACAACGGAUCUCUUGGUUCUGGCAUCGAUGAAGAACGCAGCGAAAUGCGAUAAGUAAUGUGAAUUGCAGAAUUCAGUGAAUCAUCGAAUCUUUGAACGCACAUUGCGCCCGCCAGCAUUCUGGCGGGCAUGCCUGUUCGAGCGUCAUUUCAACCCUCAAGCUCUGCUUGGUGUUGGGGCCCUACAGCUGAUGUAGGCCCUCAAAGGUAGUGGCGGACCCUCCCGGAGCCUCCUUUGCGUAGUAACUUUACGUCUCGCACUGGGAUCCGGAGGGACUCUUGCCGUAAAACCCCCAAUUUUCCAAAGGUUGACCUCGGAUCAGGUAGGAAUACCCGCUGAACUUAAGCAUAUCAAAAGCCCGGAGGAAA